Molecule: ribosomal RNA, 427 nt
Filed under: uncultured bacterium
Lineage: Bacteria
Also listed under: 1 other name
Description: partial 16S ribosomal RNA
Rfam family: Bacterial small subunit ribosomal RNA
Source: RNAcentral
UGGGGAAUUUUGGACAAUGGGCGCAAGCCUGAUCCAGCCAUUCCGCGUGCAGGAUGAAGGCCCUCGGGUUGUAAACUGCUUUUGUACGGAACGAAACGCGCUGAGUUAAUACCUCGGCGUAAUGACGGUACCGUAAGAAUAAGCACCGGCUAACUACGUGCCAGCAGCCGCGGUAAUACGUAGGGUGCAAGCGUUAAUCGGAAUUACUGGGCGUAAAGCGUGCGCAGGCGGUAAUGUAAGACAGAUGUGAAAUCCCCGGGCUCAACCUGGGAACUGCAUUUGUGACUGCAUUGCUGGAGUGCGGCAGAGGGGGAUGGAAUUCCGCGUGUAGCAGUGAAAUGCGUAGAUAUGCGGAGGAACACCGAUGGCGAAGGCAAUCCCCUGGGCCUGCACUGACGCUCAUGCACGAAAGCGUGGGGAGCAAACA